UCAGAGAGGUGAAGUCACUUCCUCACAGGCACACAGCUCAUAGGCUGAGAAGUCGACGCUGGAAGGACUGAGGCUUCCAUCCCGCCCAUCCCUCUUUGCUGUUUGCCUACCAAGUGUCUAGGAUUGUGGAGACAGAAGGAGCAUCAAACUUUCUUCCAUGAGUUUAAGAUUUGACAGGCAAGAAAUGCAAUUCAAUCCUCUCAGUGACUGAUGGUUCUGCAAGAUUAAUGGGAUGGUCUCCAAUCCUGGACUCUGUUCUGACAGCACAAAAAGUGAAUCAAACUUCUCCCCUCUCCUCUUACUAAUCAAGCUAUAAAGUUUGGGCAGGUAACCUGACUUCUCUUUGAGCCUCAGCUAUAAAAGUGGGACACGACAGACGUCCUCCUUCAUAGAACUUGGAUGAGGAUUCAGAGAUAAUGAAGGAGGACAAAGCCUUUCAUCUGCCAAUUACUGAUAAAGGGAAAAUGCAAAUAUCGCUGGGGAAGGUGAUCCAUCAAGGGCCCAACAUUUAUUGAGUGACCACUUAGGACCAGGCGGCAGGGACCCUCCCGGGCCAUGCGCCCUCCUUUGAACAUGUUUAUUUAAUUAUGUGGGAGAAGUAAAUAUGGUCAGUAUCUGAAAAAGAAGCAUGUGAUGUCCUAACCAGGCUCUGGUUUGAGUCCCAGCAACCCACCUUAUAAGCUGUGUGAUCUUGGGUGAGUGGCUUUGCCUUUCUGAGUUAUAGUUUCCUCGUUUGCAAAAUGAGGAAUAGCAAGACUAUUUCCCUUAAAG
Long non-coding RNA from Rhinolophus ferrumequinum (greater horseshoe bat), 771 nucleotides. RefSeq lists it as uncharacterized. NCBI's taxonomy places the organism in Eukaryota, Metazoa, Chordata, Mammalia, Chiroptera, Rhinolophidae. The record is from RefSeq and is a predicted model, not a curated record. The transcript is spliced from 5 exons.